RNAcentral lists this ribosomal RNA (463 nucleotides) under uncultured bacterium. RNAcentral's name for it is "partial 16S ribosomal RNA". It matches the Rfam family "Bacterial small subunit ribosomal RNA", at positions 28 to 507 of the family's 1533-position model. The record is from RNAcentral.
GAUGAACGCUGACAGAAUGCUUAACACAUGCAAGUCUUUGGCGAAGCUGUGCUUGCACAGCCUAGCCAAGGCGGACGGGUGAGUAACGCGUAAGGAACUUGCCCUGCAGUCAGGGAUAACAGACGGAAACGACUGAUAAGACCUGGUAAAGUCAGGCGGACUCAUGUCCAGCCUGAUGAAAAGAGAUGCUGCAGGAGAGCCUUGCGUCCUAUUAGCUUGUUGGUGGGGUAACGGCCCACCAAGGCGAUGAUAGGUAGCCGGCCUGAGAGGGUGGACGGCCACAAGGGGAAUGAGAUACGGCCCUUACUCCCACGGGAGGCAGGAGUGGGGAAUAUUGGAAAAAGGGGGCAACCCUGAUCCAGCAAUUCUGUGUGCACGAUGAAGGUUUUCGGAUUGUAAAGUGCUUUCAGCAGGGAAGAAAAAAAUGACGGUACCUGCAGAAGAAGCGACGGCUAAAUACGUG